GCCCUCGUGGUGAAACGGAUAUCACAACAGUCUUCGGAACUGUAGGUCCGGGUUCGAUUCCUGGCGAGGGCA
Molecule: transfer RNA, 72 nt
Filed under: Patescibacteria group bacterium
Lineage: Bacteria
Description: tRNA-Arg
Rfam family: tRNA
About the family: Transfer RNA (tRNA) molecules are approximately 80 nucleotides in length. Their secondary structure includes four short double-helical elements and three loops (D, anti-codon, and T loops).
Source: RNAcentral